This 1035-nucleotide long non-coding RNA is filed under the name Astyanax mexicanus (Mexican tetra). RNAcentral describes it as "lncRNA (ENSAMXG00005024388.1)". The record is from RNAcentral. Lineage: Eukaryota; Metazoa; Chordata; Actinopteri; Characiformes; Acestrorhamphidae.
UUUUCACUCUAACAAAUUUAAUAAGUUGAACAGUUGUCAGUGAAAUGGAAUUAAAAUAAUAAGCAAUCUAAAUGUCAUUUUUUUAAGUAAGCGCAGCGCCAUCUUGUCCCAGCGCUGAAAGUGACAUCACGAGGUUGGUCCUCGGACGCCUCACUGACAUAAACUAUUAGUCUACAGUAACAGGGGGGGGGCUUUUGUAUUGCCCCUGGGUGUAGUAAUACUGGGUGUAGUAAAAUUUUAUUGGGUGGCAAAUGAGAAAAAGAUUCACUUUCACUUUCAUUCCUCGCCUCACACAGCUGUUCUUCGGCAGUGGCUAGCAGCGCUGAAGCGCGAGAAUCCUCCGCUGGGAUGUACAGACCUUCCGACUGGGGGUAACCUUACUAUGAAAGCAGCAGCUGUGAGCUGCAAGAAAUGAGCCAAACGACGCGCCCACCCAGCAGAGCAGUGAGAGGUAACUUACCGAAAGUCUAGAUAAAUUAACAUUUAAAAGAUAACAUAGCUAGCGUUAGCUAUUUAUCUAGCAUCUUACCAUAGCUAGCCAACGCUAGCUAACUAGCUAACGCUAACUAGAUGAAGCUAGCUACCCAGCAAGCCUUCUAACUUCUAUCAACCAAACAGCGCCUGUGUUUCAAUAUCCACUUAAAUCAUGUACGUUUUAUUCAGUCUUAAUGAACUCUGGACUUUACAUGCUAAAUAGCUUAAUGUAUAUGAACAAGCUAGUUAACGGGAUGGCAGUACCUGCUGUUGACGGGCUGCAGGCUUCCUGCGCGGACCUCACGUAGAGAGAGAAUAGACACCCCUUAAACAUCUCGCUCUCAGAAAAGCAUCUAAAAAAUUCUGCUCAGGUUUAUACAGGAAAGAUCUCUGAGCAAAUGGUCCACAUUAACCUAGUUCAGCUUCGUCUUCAUCCAUAAUCUCCCCAAACAACAAGCUCUUUCCCCUUACAGUUGAAAUGCCGGCGCCCUAGCGCAAACGUAACAAACAUAAAUAUAUUAUAAUUUAGUGUGUAAACAUUUUACUCCCACUCAAUUUUAC